Molecule: unclassified non-coding RNA, 245 nt
Filed under: Hevea brasiliensis (rubber tree)
Lineage: Eukaryota; Viridiplantae; Streptophyta; Magnoliopsida; Malpighiales; Euphorbiaceae
Source: RNAcentral
CAUGGGAUAUACAGUCUUCUCACAGGCCUUGCAUUUCUGCUGGGUGCCAGUAAAAGACAUAGUCGCUGCUGAAGAAUCUGUAUACGUCUUAGAUCUGACUGCUCUUUUACCUCACCAAGAUCACCUACUAAUAAAAAAAUGUAAAAAAAAUAAAUACACAGAUCAGUUUUGCUAUAAAAUUUUUCUCUCUAAAACAAUCUUCACUGCUCAACAAAUUUUACAAAACCAAAAGAGAAAAUUAUCAA